AAUAGGAAUAUUAGAAAAACCAAAUCCUAUUCUCAAAAGGAAAUAACAUGCGGCUUCAAUUGAAAGAAGGAGCUUUGGGUUUUAAAGGAAAAAUAGGAAAGAAUGCUCAAUGGUCCAGCCGAUAUCCACGCUUUGCUCCAAAAGUAGCUGAUGAUGGCAGCUCAAUCAAAAAGACCAUCUGUUUAUUUUGACAUCUAACGUCUCAGCAAUUGCUUAGAAGAUGCGACCCACCAUUUCUACAAUAUCAGCAAUCAACGUUGGGUUCUUCUUCAUGAGAAAGGCAACAAUGUGAUGGUAAGCUUCUCUAGCUCAAUCUUUCUGGCGCUGGUCACUAAGACCAGUUGUGGAUAUAAAUUGACACUUGCACAGAUGCACUCCAGGUGUUUGAUGAAAUGGCACUCCAGGUGUUUGAUGAAAUGACAGAGUGAGUUCUUGAGAUUUUGUUGAGAUGAUAAUUCCACCCAUUUUGAUCCCCUUAAGCUUCCAAAAUUAUAGUUUUUGCUCCAAAGCCUUGCUAA
Long non-coding RNA from Prunus avium (sweet cherry), 518 nucleotides. RefSeq lists it as uncharacterized. Lineage: Eukaryota; Viridiplantae; Streptophyta; Magnoliopsida; Rosales; Rosaceae. The record is from RefSeq and is a predicted model, not a curated record.